RNAcentral lists this ribosomal RNA (506 nucleotides) under uncultured bacterium. RNAcentral describes it as "partial 16S ribosomal RNA". It matches the Rfam family "Bacterial small subunit ribosomal RNA", at positions 28 to 523 of the family's 1533-position model. The record is from RNAcentral.
GAUGAACGCUAGCUACAGGCUUAACACAUGCAAGUCGAGGGGUAACGAGAGGAAAGCUUGCUUUCCUUGUCGACGACCGGCGCACGGGUGAGUAACGCGUAUCCAACCUGCCCCCAACUAGGGAAUAACCUUGCGAAAGUAAGACUAAUACCCUAUAAUUUCCUCAGAUGUCAUCUGACGAGGAAUAAAGAUUUAUCGGUUGUGGAUGGGGAUGCGUCUGAUUAGCUUGUUGGCGGGGUAACGGCCCACCAAGGCAACGAUCAGUAGGGGUUCGGAGAGGAAGGUACCCCACGUUGGAACUGAGACACGGUCCAAACGGCUACGGGAGGCAGCAGUGAGGAAUAUUGGUCAAUGGGCGGGAGCCUGAACCAGCCAAGUAGCGUGCAGGAUGACGGCCCUAUGGGUUGUAAACUGCUUUUAUACAGGAAUAAAGUUAGACACGUGUGGUUAUUUGUAGGUACUGUAUGAAUAAGGACCGGCUAAUUCCGUGCCAGCCGCCGCAGUAA